AGCUACGGCCGCCUGGCGCGUUGCUACACCCGAUCCCUCGAUCUCGGAAGUUAAGCAAUGCGAGGUCCGGACAGUACUUUGAUGGGAGUCCCCCAACCAAGGACGUUCGGAUUGCUGUAGCCU
Non-coding RNA from Branchiostoma floridae (Florida lancelet), 123 nucleotides. The record is from Rfam. Lineage: Eukaryota; Metazoa; Chordata; Leptocardii; Amphioxiformes; Branchiostomatidae.